AAAAGUUUCAACCACUGGGGCUCGUCCGGGAUUUGAACCCGGGACCUCUCGCACCCAAAGCGAGAAUCAUACCCCUAGACCAACGAGCCACGCUGACGAGGGUUUGUAUACUUUUCCUCUGAACCUUACUUCUCCGUCAGCAAUUGGCUGCCAGGCCGCUCUGGAGUUUUACCUUAUGUUUGUGACAUUUACCUUUCGCUUUGCUUAGCUCUUCCGUCUUGAAGAAGUCUCACGUCUGACUCUAGCCUCGCUAAUUCUCCUCGAUCCUUGUCCUGGACGCCUCCAGACGCCGGAUGGGGUGAGAAGAGGCAGCUCUUCAGACGUCAGGCCACCUGUCGGUGCUCCCGCAAGCCCCGCCGGGAGGAGUCUAGCCUUGAGCUCCAGCGUGGGGGGAGCCUGGAGGGAGCCUGGAGAGAACCGAGUUGGAGCCUGAGGGCCCGAGCUGGGGUCGAUUGCAACAUUGUAGGGUCCUGAGCCCCAGGACAGACGCACAGGAUGUGUAUCUGCCGGGCUGCUACUGCUUCGCGCGAGUAUAAAAUCCUAGGGGCAGGACUGAUGGGCAUCAACAUACGGAGAGCCAGUAUUUUGAUCUGUUGGAGGUGAACCAGUCUGGGGCGUGUUCGUAAAGUCCAGACCCCUGCAGUUUCCCAGAAUGAGAAUCAAAUGUUCCAUCUCUCUACCUCUGCUUAAAUUGUUUCCUCAGUCUGGAAUUCUCUCUCCCAGUCUCAUCCCAAUUCACGUCAAAUCCUGUUCCUCCUUCCGGCUCCAGCUCAAAAUGAUUUUUGUGGAACUAUAAAAAUCUAUAAACAGCUGAAUAAAUUAAAAGGGCCUCCCCCUGAAUGAACGUAUGUGUAUAGAGUGAAUAAAGGUCUCAGGGGUUUGUCCCGCAAAUUAAGAGUCCCAAAAUUAAGAGUCCCAAGGGCCGCCGGAUAUAUAUUCUGUACCAGCGAGUGGUCUUGGAUCUCCAAACUUUGGACCUCAGGCAGCAACCUAAGUUCAGCUAGAACAUCCAACCCAGAACUUCCUUAGUUGGUUGGAAGAGUUAGUGCACACUCCCUUUUUAACUGAGAACCGUGCCCAACAAGUCCAACUUUUCAAGAGGUGAUUCUCGAAGUUCAUACAACCAUGCUGAGUUUAUCUUUGGAACGGGGUAAGGUCUGGAGAAAAUGACCCCAGAAGAGGGAAAACGACGUAAGAAACAGGAGAGCAACGUCUCGCUCGAUGGGUGGUUGCAACCCCCAAAACAUCAACACUUCCUUCGAGCCGGAGUUGAACCAGCGACCUAAGGAUAACCAUAUUGUUUUACACUACAGUCCUCCGCUCUACCAGCUGAGCUAUCGAAGGAAAUACAAAAACUGCGUUCCUACUAUUCUAUAUUGAGGACAUUGAUAAGCAGAGGUUCGUGCAUAAUGGCCCACUAGUUGCGGGUGCAUGGACACCACUUAGCAGCCAGCUUAGGAGAAAGUCCUACAUCCGCGGUUCUGCAGACAACCCCUCUAGAACUGGAUUCUCUUGCUUCAGGUACGGGCUUCCAAGCAGGACCAGAGAGUGGGCUCUUCACCGGCACACCUAGAGCCUGUGCAUCCCGAGGCCGCCCCGGACCGUGGCGAUCUGCUCGCCCCCGGGCUGUUCUCUUCACGUAGUGCGCUGCCCGGGGCCUCCCUGGCAUGAUGUGUGUCUAAAGUGGGAGAGGACACCCGGGCAUCGGAGAACUAAGGGCUGAGGUGGUGGAACAUACAAUUCUGAUCGCGCAACUGCGAGCCAGAGAGAAGGGCGGGCCUCGGAGCUCUGGCCUGGGCCUUUCUUUUCCACACUUCCUGCGCUCGCCUCCAAAUCCAGGAGCGUUUGCACAUGCGAGCUGCUUCUCUCUUCCGCUUACACGUCCACAGAGUAGGGGAGGGAGGGUAUAUAAUACAUAUGGCUAAACCCAAUGCUGCUAUGAGAACUGACUUGGAGAAACUAUUUUAAGGUUUUUCAAAGAGGAAGCCACAGUUUCUUUGAGUCAAUAACAAAUUUAGUGACCCAAGUCCCGACGCUAAUUUUCCCGCUGAGAUACUUAAAUGUUCGAAAAUCCACUGAAACAUGAAAACUUGUCGGACCCCCAAAUCAGGACAGCUGACGCCGGCUCUUCCCCUGUGGGGAGGGGACCUUGCUCUGGGCUCUAAAUCUGCCCAGAGCGGGUGCUGAGGGCUCGAUCCCAACUCUUUCCCCACAGCCCUUAGGCCCCCGCUCCGGCUCCGGCCGCCCUCAGGGCUCUUGCUGCAGGUCCGCACAGCCAGGUCGUCCGCGGAGGCUGGCAGCGCUCCCCGCAGUUUGUAAUGGACUCCGCCACAAUCUAGGCAGCGAAGCAGCACUUGCGCAUUAGCACUGGAAACUGAGAGGAAGCGGUUCCGCUCGGGUGUUUAUUUGGCACAUCUGAACACUGGCGAGAAGAUAUGAGCUGAAUUUUCGCAGGGGUUAAAGUAACGAGAGAGAGGUCUCUGUUCCUGGAUUUCUCAGUUAACAAGGAAUAAAGAAACAAAGAACAGAUAAGAGGGAUCUUACUGUGAUGACACAAAUGUUUUAAACCUUGAUUAUUGUGAUGGUGGUACAACUUGAUAAAUUUACCAAAAUAAUCAUUGAAUUAUACACUUACAAAGAUGAAUUUAAGAUAGGCUGGAAGGAAAAAAAUGGAAAAGACAUACCAUUGAAAACUCUUUAAAGGAAAAAGAAUGAUGUAGUUAUAUCAAUAUCAGACAACAGAUUCUUUAAGAGUGCUUGCCUGUAAGCCAGACGAUAGCUUACAUCAGAAUUCGACAAUCCUAGCACCCUGAUCCUGGACUUCCAGCCUCCAGAACUUGUGGGAUGCUGAAGAUGGAGGAGUCUGUGCAUGUGUGAGGGCAGGAGGUAUAUGGGAACUCUAUGCACUUUCUACUCAAUUUUUCUGUGAACUUAAAACUGCCCUGAAAAGAAAUUCUAUUUAAACUCUCCACAAUAUCCUUGAAUUUUUAUGUAUCUAAUAACAUGUCUUCAAAGGUAAGAAACAAAAGUUGACAUAACUGAGAGAAGAAAUAGAAAAAUACACAAUCAUCAUUGGAUAUUUGAACAAUCCUCUCUCAGUAAGUAUUAAACAAGUAGACAAAAUAUUCAGUGAGGACUUCGAAGGUUUUAUGAACACAGUAACCAAUAUCUGGUACUGGGAGGUAACUGGAUAGAUUCCUAACAAAAAGGAACUUUGAAUAACGUUUACUAUGCAUAUGCCAACUACAAACUGGCAUUUGCCAUCUGCCUCUGCAAGGAUUAAGUCACUAGCCACUGCAGUCCCUGACCUUCAACACACCCUGAAAGGGGUUCAGGGUGGAGAUCAGGAAUGAGGCAAUGUGUGCUCUGGGAAAA
Long non-coding RNA from Aethalodelphis obliquidens (Pacific white-sided dolphin), 3375 nucleotides. RefSeq lists it as uncharacterized. NCBI's taxonomy places the organism in Eukaryota, Metazoa, Chordata, Mammalia, Artiodactyla, Delphinidae. The record is from RefSeq and is a predicted model, not a curated record. The transcript is spliced from 5 exons.